Molecule: ribosomal RNA, 253 nt
Filed under: uncultured bacterium
Lineage: Bacteria
Description: partial 16S ribosomal RNA
Rfam family: Bacterial small subunit ribosomal RNA
Source: RNAcentral
UACAGAGGUCCCGAGCGUUACUGAGAAUCACUGGGUUUAAAGGGUGCGUAGGUGGUCCGUUAAGUCAGUUGUGAAAUCCCCGGGCUCAACCCGGGAACUGCUUCUGAUACUGGCGGACUUGAGGCCAGUAGGGGUCACUAGAACUGACGGUGGAGCGGUGAAAUGCGUAGAUAUCGUCAGGAAUGCCGGUGGUGAAGACGGGUGACUGGGCUGGUUCUGACACUGAGGCACGAAAGCGUGGGGAGCGAACGGG